GACGAACGCUGGCGGCGUGCCUAAUACAUGCAAGUAGGACGCACAGUUUAUACCGUAGCUUGCUACACCAUAGACUGUGAGUUGCGAACGGGUGAGUAACGCGUAGGUAACCUACCUAUUAGAGGGGGAUAACUAUUGGAAACGAUAGCUAAUACCGCAUAACAGUAUGUAACACAUGUUAGAUGCUUGAAAGAUGCAAUUGCAUCGCUAGUAGAUGGACCUGCGUUGUAUUAGCUAGUAGGUAGGGUAAAGGCCUACCUAGGCAACGAUACAUAGCCGACCUGAGAGGGUGAUCGGCCACACUGGGACUGAGACACGGCCCAGACUCCUACGGGAGGCAGCAGUAGGGAAUCUUCGGCAAUGGGGGGAACCCUGACCGAGCAACGCCGCGUGAGUGAAGAAGGUUUUCGGAUCGUAAAGCUCUGUUGUUAAGGAAGAACGAGUGUGAGAAUGGAAAGUUCAUGCUGGACG
RNAcentral lists this ribosomal RNA (471 nucleotides) under Streptococcus anginosus. RNAcentral's name for it is "bacterial SSU rRNA". It matches the Rfam family "Bacterial small subunit ribosomal RNA", at positions 28 to 474 of the family's 1533-position model. The record is from RNAcentral. Lineage: Bacteria; Bacillati; Bacillota; Bacilli; Lactobacillales; Streptococcaceae.